Molecule: non-coding RNA, 45 nt
Organism: Glossina fuscipes fuscipes
Lineage: Eukaryota; Metazoa; Arthropoda; Insecta; Diptera; Glossinidae
Source: Rfam
UUGACGGCUUCUUUAGAAGCCAUAAAAAAAGAAAAAAAUAAUAAU